RNAcentral lists this ribosomal RNA (496 nucleotides) under Alteromonas macleodii. RNAcentral's name for it is "bacterial SSU rRNA". It matches the Rfam family "Bacterial small subunit ribosomal RNA", at positions 15 to 508 of the family's 1533-position model. The record is from RNAcentral. Lineage: Bacteria; Pseudomonadati; Pseudomonadota; Gammaproteobacteria; Alteromonadales; Alteromonadaceae.
GAUCAUGGCUCAGAUUGAACGCUGGCGGCAGGCCUAACACAUGCAAGUCGAACGGUAACAUUUCUAGCUUGCUAGAAGAUGACGAGUGGCGGACGGGUGAGUAAUGCUUGGGAACUUGCCUUUGCGAGGGGGAUAACAGUUGGAAACGACUGCUAAUACCGCAUAAUGUCUUCGGACCAAACGGGGCUUCGGCUCCGGCGCAAAGAGAGGCCCAAGUGAGAUUAGCUAGUUGGUAAGGUAACGGCUUACCAAGGCGACGAUCUCUAGCUGUUCUGAGAGGAAGAUCAGCCACACUGGGACUGAGACACGGCCCAGACUCCUACGGGAGGCAGCAGUGGGGAAUAUUGCACAAUGGGGGAAACCCUGAUGCAGCCAUGCCGCGUGUGUGAAGAAGGCCUUCGGGUUGUAAAGCACUUUCAGUUGUGAGGAAAAGUUAGUAGUUAAUACCUGCUAACCGUGACGUUAACAACAGAAGAAGCACCGGCUAACUCCGUGC